CAGAGGUGCAGUUCAGAACAAUGUGG
This 26-nucleotide non-coding RNA is filed under the name Homo sapiens (human). Lineage: Eukaryota; Metazoa; Chordata; Mammalia; Primates; Hominidae. The record is from RNAcentral.